ACCAGGUGGUGACAUGUAUAGCAAGAACAAUUAGUUAAAACACUCGAAAUAUGUGUAUUCUUCAAACAUCAAUUUCCAGGUUGGUCAAAACAUGUCAAUUAGAGUCAACUUAAUAGAUAUUCAUCCCUGUAUCUUUUGAUUUAAGACUAUAAUUGUCAAAUUAAUAGAAACCUUGACCCUGUUUAUAUUCUGUAUAUAUACUUAUGUAUUGACUGUAUAGAGGAG
RNAcentral lists this long non-coding RNA (225 nucleotides) under Mytilus galloprovincialis (Mediterranean mussel). The record is from RNAcentral. Lineage: Eukaryota; Metazoa; Mollusca; Bivalvia; Mytilida; Mytilidae.